AAAUAAAUUCUGAUAUUCAAAAUAAUAUAUUAACCUAUAUAAUAAAUAGAUGAUUUUGUACAUCUUAGAGUACUUAUAUUAAUACUCAUUAUCAUUUAUAUUUGCUUUUGAUUUUUGAUGAAUUUAUAUAACAAUACACAUUUUCAAUUAAGCUCAAUUAAUUGAUAUUUUAAUUAUUCGAAAUAUAAAAUUGAAAAUUACUCCAAUAUGUUUGCAUUAAUUCAGGUUCUUGAAUGAGUAAUUGAUGUGAUAUAUUUUAUUUCUAAAAUUUAUUCAUAUUUACAUGAAUUUGAUUGUGUUUAAUACUCCCUCCGUCCCAUUAGGCUUGUCCCAUUUCUUUUGGACACGGUUAUUAAGGAGAGUUAAAUUAGUGUAGUAAAAAUAUGUAAAGGUAUGAGACCCAUAUUGUUUGUAGUGUAAAAUUAUUACUAAAAAUUGAAACAUAACAAGAUCAAUGAGACAACCUAAAAAAAAAAAUAAGACAAGAAAAAUAGCCAAGCGUAGCCCAAAGUCAUAUGCGUAGAGAAAUCCGAAGGCCCGCACGAUAUACUACUUAAAUGGGCUGCUAUUUAUUUGCUUAGCCAUUUUGUUGGGCUGUGUUUACCAUAAGAUUAGGUUUAAAUCUCCUUCCUUCCAAGUUCAGUUUAAAUGGUGAUGAAUUAAAAUAAUAUUGCUCGUGGAUUCUCUCAAAACAAACAUUAGUAAAAGUAAAAAUGCUCCUUUCCUUGAAUUAAAAUAUUGUUUCAGCA
This 749-nucleotide long non-coding RNA is filed under the name Salvia miltiorrhiza (redroot sage). RNAcentral's name for it is "long non-coding RNA (SMIL_LNC012154)". The record is from RNAcentral. Lineage: Eukaryota; Viridiplantae; Streptophyta; Magnoliopsida; Lamiales; Lamiaceae.